UGGUGACCUUUACAAUUAUUGUGGAAAUCUGGGCUUUGCCCUCAGAUGAGAGUCAGGACGAUCUUACCGGUUCGUACCCUACGGACGGAAAUGGAGAUGGGAACGCUUGACUGCAGCUACGUUAGGAGGAUCUCACGGGGCGCGUGGAGAUCAGUCAGGGUGUUUAGUUGUUUUGUAAAAUUAUCAGACUAGGUUGUCACGGAGGGAACAGAUGUCCUUCUUUUGGGGUUGCGUUUAUUUUAAACCGGAAGACUGUACUGUUACUAUUAUUGUCAGUAUGACACCUUAGUUGAAUGGGUUCCUUGUAUCUUCUGGUUGUUGUUUAGAUACUUUGGAUGUAUGUAUUUGAGAAACUUUUUCCGCUGCUUGUAAAUUUUAAUGACUCAAUUAUUUAUCCAAAGGCU
Molecule: long non-coding RNA, 404 nt
Filed under: Cicer arietinum (chickpea)
Lineage: Eukaryota; Viridiplantae; Streptophyta; Magnoliopsida; Fabales; Fabaceae
Description: long non-coding RNA (CARI_LNC002741)
Source: RNAcentral